RNAcentral lists this ribosomal RNA (440 nucleotides) under uncultured bacterium. RNAcentral describes it as "partial 16S ribosomal RNA". It matches the Rfam family "Bacterial small subunit ribosomal RNA", at positions 338 to 795 of the family's 1533-position model. The record is from RNAcentral.
CCUACGGGUGGCAGCAGUGGGGGAUCUUGCACAAUGGGGGAAACCCUGAUGCAGCGACGCCGCGUGAGUGAAGAAGUAUUUCGGUAUGUAAAGCUCUAUCAGCAGGGAAGAAAAUGACAGUACCUGACCAAGAAGCCCCGGCUAACUACGGGCCAGCAGCCGCGGGAAUCAGUAGGGUGCAAGCGUUAUCCGGAUUUACUGGGUGUAAAGGGAGCGUAGACGGUUUUGUAAGUCUGGAGUGAAAGCCCGGGGCCCAACCCCGGGACUGCUUUGGAAAAUGGGUCACUGGAGUAAAGGAGGGGCAGGCGGAAUUCCUGGUGUAGCGGUGAAAUGCGUAGAUAUCAGGAGGAACACCGGCGGCGAAGGCGGCCUGCUGGACUGAAACUGACGUUGAGGCUCGAAAGCGUGGGGAGCAAACAGGAUUAGAUACCCUGGUAGUC